AAAUAGCACUAGGGGGGCCCAUGUAAUGGGCUGAGAUAGAACUGUUAGUUUCUGACCCUCAUAACCUGAUUUGGAUAAUUCCAACGUAGGGAAGUUACUUUGUAUAGGU
RNAcentral lists this non-coding RNA (109 nucleotides) under Clostridium magnum. RNAcentral describes it as "TPP sequence". It matches the Rfam family "TPP riboswitch aptamer (THI element)". From Rfam's summary of the family: Vitamin B(1) in its active form thiamin pyrophosphate (TPP) is an essential coenzyme that is synthesised by coupling of pyrimidine and thiazole moieties in bacteria. The previously detected thiamin-regulatory element, thi box was extended, resulting in a new, highly conserved RNA secondary structure, the THI element, which is widely distributed in eubacteria and also occurs in some archaea. Lineage: Bacteria; Bacillati; Bacillota; Clostridia; Eubacteriales; Clostridiaceae. The record is from RNAcentral. RNAcentral also lists the same sequence under 1 other name.